GCCUGUGUAGCUCAGUCCUGGUUAGAGCGUUGCAUUGGUAAUGCAGAGGUCCUGAGUUCAAUCCUCAGCACAGGCU
This 76-nucleotide transfer RNA is filed under the name Candidatus Pacearchaeota archaeon. RNAcentral describes it as "tRNA-Thr". It matches the Rfam family "tRNA". From Rfam's summary of the family: Transfer RNA (tRNA) molecules are approximately 80 nucleotides in length. Their secondary structure includes four short double-helical elements and three loops (D, anti-codon, and T loops). Lineage: Archaea; Nanobdellati. The record is from RNAcentral.